CCUACGGGGGGCUGCAGUCGAGAAUCAUUCACAAUGGGGGAAACCCUGAUGGUGCGACGCCGCGUGGGGGAAUGAAGGUCUUCGGAUUGUAAACCUCUGUCAUGUGGGAGCAAAUUAAAAAGAUAGUACCACAAGAGGAAGAGACGGCUAACUCUGUGCCAGCAGCCGCGGUAAUACAGAGGCCUCAAGCGUUGUUCGGAAUCACUGGGCGUAAGGCGUGCGUAGGCUGUUUCGUAAGUCGUGUGUGAAAGGCGCGGGCUCAACCCGCGGACGGCACAUGAUACUGCGAGACUAGAGUAAUGGAGGGGGAACCGGAAUUCGCGGUGUAGCAGUGAAAUGCGUAGAUAUCGAGAGGAACACUCGUGGCGAAGGCAGGUUCCUGGACAUUAACUGACGCUGAGGCACGAAGGCCAGGGGAGCGAAAGGGAUUAGAUACCCCUGUAGUC
RNAcentral lists this ribosomal RNA (446 nucleotides) under uncultured bacterium. Its description in RNAcentral is "partial 16S ribosomal RNA". It matches the Rfam family "Bacterial small subunit ribosomal RNA", at positions 338 to 795 of the family's 1533-position model. The record is from RNAcentral.